This 305-nucleotide ribosomal RNA is filed under the name uncultured bacterium. RNAcentral's name for it is "bacterial SSU rRNA". It matches the Rfam family "Bacterial small subunit ribosomal RNA", at positions 336 to 657 of the family's 1533-position model. The record is from RNAcentral.
UUCCUACGGGACGCAGCAGUGGGGGAUAUUGCACAAUGGGGGAAACCCUGAUGCAGCGACGCCGCGUGAGUGAAGAAGUAUUUCGGUACGUAAAGCUCUAUCAGCAGGGAAGAAUAAUGACGGUACCUGACUAAGAAGCCCCGGCUAACUACGUGCCAGCAGCCGCGGUAAUACGUAGGGGGCAAGCGUUAUCCGGAUUUACUGGGUGUAAAGGGAGCGUAGACGGCAGCGCAAGUCUGGAGUGAAAUGCCGGGGCUCAACCACGGAACUGCUUUGGAAACUGUGCAGCUAGCGUGCGGGAGAGG